RNAcentral lists this ribosomal RNA (248 nucleotides) under Archaeosporaceae sp. Its description in RNAcentral is "partial large subunit ribosomal RNA". The record is from RNAcentral. Lineage: Eukaryota; Fungi; Glomeromycota; Glomeromycetes; Archaeosporales; Archaeosporaceae.
AAACGAUUGAAGCCAGUCAUGCUAGUGGGAAAUCAGCUCAUAGGCUACUGUGGGUGCACUUUCUCGCAAGGCAGGUUAACAUCGAUUUCAGUUGCAUUAUAAUGAUAGUGGGAAGGUAGCUCUCUCGGGAGUGUUAUAGCCUGCUAUAGAUGGCGUGACAGAGAUCGAGGAUUGCAGCGAAUGCCUUUAGGCUACAGGUCUGGUCUUUUUAAAGGUGUGAUCUUGUCCGUCAGCAUGCUGACGACAAG